RNAcentral lists this ribosomal RNA (680 nucleotides) under uncultured bacterium. Its description in RNAcentral is "bacterial SSU rRNA". It matches the Rfam family "Bacterial small subunit ribosomal RNA", at positions 74 to 751 of the family's 1533-position model. The record is from RNAcentral.
GCUUGCUUCUUUGCUGACGAGUGGCGGACGGGUGAGUAAUGUCUGGGAAACUGCCUGAUGGAGGGGGAUAACUACUGGAAACGGUAGCUAAUACCGCAUAACGUCGCAAGACCAAAGAGGGGGACCUUCGGGCCUCUUGCCAUCGGAUGUGCCCAGAUGGGAUUAGCUAGUAGGUGGGGUAACGGCUCACCUAGGCGACGAUCCCUAGCUGGUCUGAGAGGAUGACCAGCCACACUGGAACUGAGACACGGUCCAGACUCCUACGGGAGGCAGCAGUGGGGAAUAUUGCACAAUGGGCGCAAGCCUGAUGCAGCCAUGCCGCGUGUAUGAAGAAGGCCUUCGGGUUGUAAAGUACUUUCAGCGGGGAGGAAGGGAGUAAAGUUAAUACCUUUGCUCAUUGACGUUACCCGCAGAAGAAGCACCGGCUAACUCCGUGCCAGCAGCCGCAGUAAUACGGAGGGUGCAAGCGUUAAUCGGAAUUACUGGGCGUAAAGCGCACGCAGGCGGUUUGUUAAGUCAGAUGUGAAAUCCCCGGGCUCAACCUGGGAACUGCAUCUGAUACUGGCAAGCUUGAGUCUCGUAGAGGGGGGUAGAAUUCCAGGUGUAGCGGUGAAAUGCGUAGAGAUCUGGAGGAAUACCGGUGGCGAAGGCGGCCCCCUGGACGAAGACUGACGCUCAGG